Molecule: long non-coding RNA, 201 nt
Filed under: Homo sapiens (human)
Lineage: Eukaryota; Metazoa; Chordata; Mammalia; Primates; Hominidae
Description: non-protein coding lnc-OPRM1-6:1
Source: RNAcentral
AUGCCCCAACUAGACACAUCCAUGUGACUCAUUACUAUUUUAUCCAUAAUCAUAACUCUAUUCGUCAUUUUUCAAUUAAAAGUCUCAAGUUUUAUUUACCCUUUGAAUCCCACACCAAAAGCAAUUAAGAUGCAAAAACACUCAACACCUUGAGAAUUAAAAUAAAUGAAAAUUUAUUUGCCUCGUUCAUUACCCCAAUAA